AAAUACAAGAGAAUAGUAGUAAAGCAUGACACACAGGCCGUAUUUAUAAAAUUAAAACCUUUUAUCAAAUGGUUCAUCGGGCUAUAACUAUGCAUUUCAAACACUGUGCAUGUCAAAAAUAACAUACAUAAUACAACGUCUUGUUAAGGUGAAUUAUAACAUAUCCUUUCAACUUUUAUGGCUACCAAGUUUAAUUUAUUAUAAAACAUACUUUAAGAACAUGACAGGGAAUUGCCACGGUACGAGCAGGGGGUACAGGGGCGGAGCCCCGCGGUGUGCACCAGGGGUGCGGGGCGAAGCUCCCGCGG
RNAcentral lists this long non-coding RNA (308 nucleotides) under Gossypium barbadense (sea-island cotton). Its description in RNAcentral is "long non-coding RNA (GBAR_LNC022344)". The record is from RNAcentral. Lineage: Eukaryota; Viridiplantae; Streptophyta; Magnoliopsida; Malvales; Malvaceae.